Neocloeon triangulifer is the source of this 1322-nucleotide long non-coding RNA. RefSeq lists it as uncharacterized. The record is from RefSeq and is a predicted model, not a curated record. Lineage: Eukaryota; Metazoa; Arthropoda; Insecta; Ephemeroptera; Baetidae. The transcript has 3 exons.
UUGUCGGCAGGGUGCUUUCGUUAUCAGGUCAGAGGGCUCUUUGAACUCUACAGGGGGCACUGUGUGGUCAGUGUGGUUUUCCAAGUCUGACGAGGCCGGCCGUCUUUUGCUGCCUCGGUUCACGGGCAACCUCAGGGUGGCUGCGUCCGUGUACUCAAUUCUAGCCUCCGUCUGGUGCUCGUUGAUGGGCGGUGAUGGCGGUGGCGUUUCUAGAUGACUCCGGUUGUCCAUUAUGGUGCUAAUCAAAAAGAAUACAGAUGUUAGCAUUACUCUGGUUUGGUAUGUUGCGUCUGCUUACGCUCUGUAAGUUUCUAUUAAGAAAAUUUUCGCUCGGCAACGCAGCAUUGUUAUUCAAAAUGUUAUUGUUUAUUAUGUUUUUUGUGCUGCAGGUUUAAAACAACAAACUAGAAGGAAAAAAAUGAGAAGAGGGACUAUUAUCAAGUGUAGCGAUUACACGACAUAACGUGCGUGCACAGGCAGACUGAGCCAAAGUACGGUACUCACUAGAAAACACUUCAUGUUUGUCCGUCUAAUAAGAUGAUGCAGAAGCAACAGUUUCCAAAUCAGGAAUGCUGGUGCAUCCCAAUACGAUGAACCCUUUAUAUAGGGCUCUCAACAUCAAAUAAUGAAUACUUGCGUCACUGCACCGCCGGACAAGAUCAAAAAUGCAAUAAAAAAAACUUGAUGAAGGCUAUCUCAACGUGGAAAUCACUGGAGACGGUGAGGAUAACAACCUCUCAGGGCACAUCAUAUUUGGGAGAACCGAGAGUGGUGCAGGAAAGAUCACUUUCAUUAUGUAAUUAUGUAGACACGAGAUGCACCGCAGCUCGAGUGCAAUGCACCAAGAAUGAGCUGCUGCGCCCACAGAAAGGGUUGAGGAAUGCAACUAUAGAGCAAUGACUUUAUUCGAAUGUAGAAAGAAAAUCAACAGCUAGAAUUUUUAAAGAAAUAAAAAACCAUAGAAAAUUCAUUAUAUUUGAAUCCAGUCAAAUAAUAAAACAACAUUCUUUUGCGCGUAAUUUUGUUUCAAAAUAUUUAUAUUUGUAUCAAAUGGCCGCAAUAAAGUGUGCUUUACAAAAUAAUCAAAAUUGCUUUUAAUCAAAGUUGAACCUCCGCUUUCCGUCAAAUCUGAAGCCAUAAGCGGGUGCAUUUUUUACAUCGAUGAGUGCCGGGUGGCGGUGCUUGUAAAAUGAGCCGUGGCCAUGCGCUGGCCGAGCAUCCCCGUUGACGACUCCGUACGCUCGGUUUGGGUAAAAAGCUUCAAACUUAUCUUUGGGAAGGAGCACCUUGGCGAGCUGCUCGUCCUCAGGGUCGUAGGCCAG